CACGAUCCAUGAAGUUAGAAAUGUAGACAAAAAUGGAUUGAGAAAGCAUUCAAUAUCUAUAAAAACAUUACAUUGUAAACAUUUCAGACGAAUCACUGAAAACUGUAAUAUAUUGUGAAAUUUCAGAGUAUGAAAGACCAUUCGCAGAAAUACCCUCCUCUUUAAUGCCAAAAUGCCAAAUUAUUGUCAGAGUCUGCUGACUCCAUCUAUGUAUUGAGCAGGUAUGCCAAGAGACAAAGUGUUCUGCCACAAAACGACGCAAAAUCUUUCCGGUGGCAGUCUUGGGGAAAGAAUCAGUUAUGAAGACCUUUUUGGGAACUUUGAAGGAUGCAAGAUUAUUCUUGCUAUAUCUUAGCACCUCUGCCUCGUCAACGUUUGAUCCUUCUCUUGGGAUGAUAGCACAAUAUAUCUAUCAAAAAGUUAACAAUAUAUCAUCAACACAAAUUUCAGUCAACAAAACUAGAUAUAGUAAUCCACAUGUAAUACCGGAAGAGGUCGAAUGGUCGACAAGGCUGAAUAAACCCAAAUGUACUACCGGAUGGUCAGGAGGUCGAAUGGUCGACAAGACCGAAUAAACCUAAGAACAAACAAUAAACACAUGAUUAACUGUAAUUAAACCAGUUUAGUUAUAAACUAUGAUUAAGGCACAAUUGAACCCUCGUCUGAAAUCCAAGAGCAGGCCCAUAACAAUUGAGGUUCAUCCCAAAGUUAUAAAUACUAGAGGAGACCCAGCGUCAAAGGUAAUCUUUCACUCUUAACUCAUCGGCAUAUUGUACUUGGACUAACUUGAGCAUCGGAGCGCCUUCGCAGGUACCCCACUCCGCCGUUCUUGGAGAAGGACUUGCAAGACGAAGAGACACCGAACACAGAAGCCGCGAGGACGAGAAGACGGAAGCUACAUGAGUCAUUCUGAGAGGAACCCGACCUUGUAAGAACAUUUUUGGCGCCCACCGUGGGGCCGGGAUGAAAUCCUUCAGAGUGUCCACAUGAUAACAACGAGGAAUAUGACUGGCAACGACAGAAAUACGUAAGGAGGAGUAUAGACCAACCCAAAAAGAAACCUCUCGACCAAGGUCGACCCACACUACAAAAAAAAACACAUUUAGCGACCACCACAUUCGGUCGCUAAAAGCACUAUAAUCGAUCGCUAAACAUAUUUGUCACCGAAAUAGUCACUAAAUAAAGAUGGAAGCGAAACUCUAGUCGCAAAGCCUUUAGCGACCGAAUUAUAAAGUGGUCACUAAUUUGCAACCGAUAUUUCAGUGGCUAAAUCGGUCGCAGAAAAUUUGAUCACCAAAAAUCAGAAACCAAAUUAGCAAUCGAAAUUUCAGUUGUUAAAUCAGUCGCAAAAAAUUGUCACCAAAAUUCAAAAACCAAAUUAGUAACUGAAAUUUCAGUGGCUAAAUCGGUCGCAAAAAAUUUGGUCACAAAAAUUUAGAACCCAAAUUAGCAACCAAAGUUUUAUAAAAUAAUCGGUGACUAAAUCGGUAACUGAAACAAAAGGUAAUAGCGACAACCAUUUUUUGUCGCUAAUGGAUUAAAAUAAUUAAUUAAAAAAAACUUUUGGUGGCUAAUUCGGUGACUAAAUGGAGACUCCUAGGAUUUUGAUGGCUAUUUUUAUAUGUAUUAUUAAUAUUUAUAGGACUCCUUAAGUAUGACAUUGUAGUUUCUUCUCAUUGCUUUGAGUUUUUUCCUGCAGAAAUACAACUAAGGUUGAUUGCAAUGAGUACAAGGAAAGCCUCAGAACAUUGAAAUUUUCGAUUAAUUGAAUUCAAGUUCAAAUUAGAAAUCAUAACAUAAAGUUGUACCAGAAACAUGCAAAGAAAAGCUGAUGGAAGCUCAUACCAACCAAAAUAGAAAAAUUAACUCUCCGUGAAAAGGGCAAAUAAGAACUGCAAUAAAAUUUAUAGAUAAUCGAUUUUGCAUACAAUGACAAAUGUUACGAGAUAGAGGUUAAAGCCAUCUUCCUAAAUUAACAGAAACAAAAAGUUAUCUCUCCAAAAAAAAACUAUAGAAAUAUGGACUCAUUCCUAGAAGAAUCAAGCUAAGGCAGAAUAAACUCGGUAUCAAUCUUACUUUAAUGUAUACUAUUCUCUCCGCCUGGAUUUGCUUUUUCAACUGAUUUAUCUUGAGCGACAAGGUUCCCAAUGCAUCAUUUGCAGGCUCUCCAAGUUGUUUCUAUCGACAUUACAGAAGAAAACGUCACCACAUUCAAAGUACAAAAAGUAGAAAAACAUAAAACAAAAUUUCAAUUCUCAAGCGAUGAAGCACAAUGACCAUUUAAUUAGCAAUGGAAAAUCUACAACAGAACAGAAAUCAAUACUAAAGACUAAGCACAAUCCAAAAGCCCUAUUCGCGACUCAAGUGUUGUGAUAUUCAAUUACAGAGAGAUAGAGGAAUAGAGAACUCGAAAAUGAUGUUCGCUCGUGAUUACCAGCUCAAUUUCAAAAUUCUAUAUAGACAUAAACAAAUUCUGAAAAACAGUUACGCCAUCGAUUCCGUUGAGUCGGAAGAGAAAAAAAAAGAAUUGAAGCAUUAAACAACAAGUUGUAUUCAGUUUAUUGUUGAAUUGGAGGAAGAGAGAGAAACUGACUCGAGGUUUGGAAGCGGAGUCGGUAUGUUUGGAGACCAUCGAUGGUGUGACGUACGGUGUGCGAAGUCGAUCAAAGGAGGAAGAAAGCAAGAGACAGUCACUCUCGUGUCUGUUGUGUGAGAAAGAAGGGAAAGAAAGUGACAGGUUCUGAGUUUUGACACGUUUGAUUAGAUGGCCUACCGCAAAAACAAACGCAACGUAAUUUGUGGUGGUUGCGUAAGUUACACACCAUCCACCACCGCUACUAUUUUCUUCAUUAUAUUUUACGCACCAUCCAAGAAAAUUUCAUGACACACAAUUUUUUCAAUACUUAAAAUAAAAUUGAUUUUGAAUACAUUCCAAUAUUUUAUCUAAUUAUAUUAUUUAUUAUUAAAAAUGAAUAAAACUGUAGCCAUACACAUUUUUGUAAAAUAAAAAAAAAUAUUAAAUAAGUAUUUAUUUUAUCUAAUUAUAUUAUUUAUUAUUAGAAAUGAAUAAAACUGUAGCCAUACACAUUUUUGUAAAAUUAAAAUUAUAAUAUUAAAUAAGUAUUAAAAUAUCUUGAUAAUAAAUAUGAAUAUUUUAAUCAUUUAAUUAUUUUUCAUGGUUUAAGUUGCAGAUACCUAUUACCUCUGUUAAUAAUUUUUAAAUAAAAUAUUAAUAAUCAAAAAAUUAUUUACAUUUUAAUUCUGAAAAUUUAUUUGUUUUUAUAAAAUUAAAGUAAUUUUAAAGGGAUAAUUUUAUUUAAAUUUAAUUAUGUGGCGUAAUUUAUUUUUUAAAAGGAUUAAUUUUAUAAAUAAUAUUAUUUUGUUAUGUAAUUUUAUUUAUAAUUUUUAUUUGAGCUGAUAUUUUAAAAAUAAUAUUUAUUUAACUUUAUUUAAAUUUAAAAAAUUACAAAUAUAAUUGACACAAAUUUUUUAAAUAGAAAAAAAAAACAGUAAUACAACUAAUUAUUUUAUAAAUGGAUGACUAGUCAAGAAUAUCUAUAGUGGUCCUUGUAUAGAUUUUUAAAAUAAAAAUGAAUUAUUAUUAUUAUUAUUAUUAAUAUUACUGAAAUAAAAAUUACAUUCAGCUACUAAAUUAUGGAUAUUUGGUGGUUAUUUUGGUUGCAAAUUGCAACCACUUAUUUUCGGUCUCUAAAUUUGGUGACUAAAAUGUUAUUUUUUUGUAAUGUCAAGUGAAUCCCUGUCGAGAGCAUGUUAAAGAAAUCGCUCGGCCAAGGUCGAUUCACCCAAAUGAAUCCCUGCCAAGAGCACGUUAAAAGAAAACCACUCGGUCAAGGUCGAUUCACCCAUGAAUCCCUUUCAAGAGUGUGUCAAAAAAACCUCUCGGUCAAGGAAGAAUUCACUUACGUGAAUCCCUAUCGAGAGACUGUCAAAGAAAACCUCUCAGCCAAGGUCAAUUCACCCAAAUGAAUCCAUGCCGAGAGCGCGUUACAGAAACCUCUCGGCCAAGGUCGAUUCACCCGUGAAUCCCUGCCGAGAGCACGUCAAAGAACCCUCUCGGCGUAGGUAGAAAUUCACCUAUGUGAAUCCUUGCCGAGAGUCGGAUAAGAAACCUCUUGGCGAAGGUAGAACUCACCUACGUGAAUCCCUGCCGAUAGUUCGUAAGAGAAAACCUCUCGGAGAAGGUAGAAUUCACUUGUGACCGGGAUUCCGAUAAGAAAACCUCCUGGCAAAGGUAGAAUUCACCUAUGUGAAUCCCUGCCGAGAGUCCGAUAAGAAACCUCUCGGAGAAGCUAGAAUUCACCUGUGUAUCCCUACCAGGUCCGUAAGAGAAAACCUCUUGGCAAAGGUAGAAUUCAUAUAUGUGAAUCCAUGCCGAGAGUCCGAUAAGAAAACCUUUUGGCAAAGGUAGAAUUCACUGAAUCCCUACUGAGAGUCCGAUAAGAAACCUCUCGGAGAAGGUAGAAUUCACCUGUGAAUCCCUGCCAAGAGUCUGAUAAGAAACCUCUUGGCGAAGGUAGAAUUCACCUACGUGAAUCCCUGUCGAGAGUCCGUAAAAGAAAACCUCUUGGAAAAGGUAGAAUUCACCUCCGUGAAUCCCUGCCGAGAGUCCGAUAAGAAAUCUCUCAGAGAAGGUAGAAUUCAUAUAUGUGAAUCCAUGACGAGAGUUCGAUAAGAAAAUAUCUUAGCGAAGGUAGAAUUCACCUAUGUGAAUCCCUGCCGAGAGUUUGAUAAGAAACCUCUUGACGAAGGUAGAAUUGAUAUAAACCCACUAACAUGAUAGGAUAUGAUAUGAACAUGUUAUGGAUUCAAUAAGAGUUGGAAUAUGAUUAGGCACUUUUUAAGAAUUUGAUCAAUGUUCUUAAACAUUCAAGAACUCACCAAAACACAAGUAACCAAGCCAAACUCACAUAGAAACCCAUUUUUGGACAUAUGAACCGUUUGACACAAGGAAGAACACAAAUGCACUGAUUAAAAGUCCAAGAAACACAAUCAUAACCACAAGAACAGCAAACCAAAUGAAACUACCGAAUAUAAACACAAGACAAACAAGUUCUACCGAUUGAAAUAACAAGAAACAACAAAAACAUGUUUUAGAGUUUGUUUUGGAAUGGAAAUGGAAGAAGAAGAUGAAAAGGACAAGGAAACUUAUGUGGUUGGAGCUCUUGGAAAUGUGCACGCCACUUGAAGGAUGGUUGGCUUCAAGAUGAGUGUUGUUGCCGCCACUUGAGAGACCAAGAAUUCACUCAAGAUAAGACUAGAAGAGAAGAAAACACAAGUCUUUCUCAAUUCACUCACCAAUUUGGUAGAGGUUCAUUAUUCACAAAAUCAAUCCUAUUAUUUUAAAGACCUAAGCCUUCCUUUUAUAAUGAGGAGGACUAGUCACAAGUAAAAGGGAAGCUUACAAGAGAAGCUUUGAAAUGUGACCUUCUAACUCUUCCUAUUUUAGUGCCUAAAGGAGAGUGAAGAGGCACCUUUCUAGAUCUUUCCUAAAAACUAAUGCCUAAAUGUGCAAUACAAAGGAGGUGUCUUAGGUGUCCAUCUUUAGCACCUUCCUAAACACUACUCUAUAUGUUUUACAAUUUUAUACAAAAGAAACUAUAAAAAGAGAAAACAUUUGAAGCCUACUACCUAACUCCUUAGCUUUGCUCCUUGUAAUCCUUUGAGGUAUAAAGGAUGAUGAGCUAAUGUGUCUUUGAGCAUCUUGAACUUCAACCUCAUUCUCUUCUUCUUCUUGAUCUCCAUCAAGAAUUCACCUACGUGAAUCCCUGUCGAGAGUCCGAUAAGAAACCUCUCGACAAGGUAGAAUUCACUUACGUGAAUACCUGCUGAGAGUCCGUAAAAGUAAACCUCUUGCCCAAGGUAGAAUUCACUUAUGUAAAUCCCUGGCGAGAGUUCGAUAAGAAACCUCUCAGAGAAGGUAGAAUUCACCUAUGUGAAUCCCUGCCGAGAGUCCGAUAAGAAACCUCUUGGCGAAGGUAGAAUUCACCUACGUGAAUCCCUGCCGAGAGUUCGUAAAAGAAAACCUUUUGGCGAAGAAUUCACCUAUGUGAAUCCCUGCCGAGAGUCCGUAAAGAAAUCUUCUUGGCGAAGGUAGAAUUCACCUACGUGAAUCUCUGCUGAGAGUCUGUAAAAGAAAACCUCUUGGCGAAGGUAGAAUUCACCUACGUGAAUCCCUGCCGAGAGUUCCAUAAGAAACCUCUUGGCGAAGGUAGAAUUCACCUAGGUGAAUCCCUGCCGAGAGUUCGAUAAGAAACCUCUUGGCGAAGGUAGAAUUCACCUACAUGAAUCCCUGCCGAGAGUCCGAUAAGAAACCUCUUGGCGAAGGUAGAAUUCACCUGCGUUAAUCCCUGCCGAGAGUCCGAUAAGAAACCCUCUCGGGGAAGGUAGAAUUCACCUACGUGAAUCUCUGCAGAGAGCCUGUAAAAGAAAACCUCUUGGCGAUGGUAGAAUUCACCUAUGCGAAUUCCUACUGCGAGGCCGUAAAAGAAAACCUCUUGGCGAAGGUAGAAUUCACCUACGUGAAUCCCUACCGAGAGUCCGAUAAGAAACCUCUCGGAGAAGGUAGAUAUAAAACAGUUGAGGUGGAUAAAAAAACAUCUGCCCAAAGAUGAAGCAAUUUUUAUUUUAUAGACUCUACAUUACAUUUUAACAAUUCCACUUGAGCCUUGGGGGCAAAUGUACUACCAGAUGGCUGAGAGGUUGAAUGGUUGACAAGGCCAAAUAAACCCAAAUGUACUACUGGAUGGCCGGGAGGUUGAAUGGUCAACAAGGCCAAAUAAACCUAAGAACAAACAAUAAACACACAAAUAAUUGUAAUUAAACCAGUUUAGUUAUAAACUAUGAUUAAAGCACAAUUGGGCCCUCGUCUGAAAUCCAAGAGCAGGCCCAUAACAGUUGAGGUCCAUGUCAAAGUUAUAAAUACUAGAGAAGACGCAGCGUCAAAGGUAAUCUUUCACUCUUAACUCAU
This 6988-nucleotide long non-coding RNA is filed under the name Phaseolus vulgaris (common bean). RNAcentral describes it as "long non-coding RNA (PVUL_LNC000707)". Lineage: Eukaryota; Viridiplantae; Streptophyta; Magnoliopsida; Fabales; Fabaceae. The record is from RNAcentral.